CCGGCGGGUGCUGGCGGUGCUGGCCUACCUCCAGACGUAGGGCUAGCCCUACCCCCGGUCGGGGGCUCGCCGGAUCGAACCCGGCCUGCCGGA
Molecule: transfer RNA, 93 nt
Filed under: Actinoplanes octamycinicus
Lineage: Bacteria; Bacillati; Actinomycetota; Actinomycetes; Micromonosporales; Micromonosporaceae
Description: tRNA-Leu
Source: RNAcentral